UUUCAACAACGGAUCUCUUGGUUCUGGCAUCGAUGAAGAACGCAGCGAAAUGCGAUAAGUAAUGUGAAUUGCAGAAUUCAGUGAAUCAUCGAAUCUUUGAACGCACAUUGCGCCCCGUGGUAUUCCGCGGGGCAUGCCUGUUCGAGCGUCAUUUCACCACUCAAGCCUAGCUUGGUAUUGGGCGUCGCGGU
This 191-nucleotide ribosomal RNA is filed under the name Amycosphaerella africana. Its description in RNAcentral is "5.8S ribosomal RNA". The stretch from base 1 to 151 matches the Rfam family "5.8S ribosomal RNA". Rfam says of the family: 5.8S ribosomal RNA (5.8S rRNA) is a component of the large subunit of the eukaryotic ribosome. It is transcribed by RNA polymerase I as part of the 45S precursor that also contains 18S and 28S rRNA. Lineage: Eukaryota; Fungi; Ascomycota; Dothideomycetes; Mycosphaerellales; Mycosphaerellaceae. The record is from RNAcentral.